GACUAAGUAGCUCAGUUGGUAGAGCACAUCCCUUUUAAGGAUGGGGUCCUGGGUUCGAGCCCCAGCUUGGUCA
This 73-nucleotide transfer RNA is filed under the name Bacteroidales bacterium. RNAcentral's name for it is "tRNA-Lys". It matches the Rfam family "tRNA". Rfam says of the family: Transfer RNA (tRNA) molecules are approximately 80 nucleotides in length. Their secondary structure includes four short double-helical elements and three loops (D, anti-codon, and T loops). The record is from RNAcentral. Lineage: Bacteria; Pseudomonadati; Bacteroidota; Bacteroidia; Bacteroidales. RNAcentral also lists the same sequence under 1 other name.